UUGCCUAUUCCUCCCAUGCCAA
Molecule: microRNA, 22 nt
Filed under: Prunus persica (peach)
Lineage: Eukaryota; Viridiplantae; Streptophyta; Magnoliopsida; Rosales; Rosaceae
Description: ppe-miR482e
Gene: ppe-miR482e
Source: miRBase by way of RNAcentral